This 465-nucleotide ribosomal RNA is filed under the name Triticum aestivum (bread wheat). RNAcentral describes it as "partial small subunit ribosomal RNA". Lineage: Eukaryota; Viridiplantae; Streptophyta; Magnoliopsida; Poales; Poaceae. The record is from RNAcentral.
AUGGAUGUGCUGCUGCUCGGGGCCCUCCCUAUGCUUCUCCUCGCUCGUACGGGUCCAGGGUUAGCUGCUCAGGAGCCAUGGUGUGUUCCGUGUGGCGCUGCCUUCGCGGCCGCAGCCGUUGUUGUGUCUCGUGUGUCGCGGCAGCCAAUGGGGUCGGGAAGGUCUGAGACUGGAGGUCCCUGCUCGCCAACUCACAGACGGUUGUUCUCCGACCAGUUAAAAAUGAAUUUUCUGAAGGAGAAGGAGGUGCCGAAAGGGGAUGGGAGCAACAAGAGUCUGAAUCUAAGAGUCAAAGAAGUCGAACCUGAAGAAGUGCAGGGAAGAAUUAUAGUUGCGUGUGGCUGGCUGGUUCAGGGGAAUUUCAGGGCGGGCGCGGCGGCGCGGGUGCCAGAGCAGGCUCCUAGGCACUGGCGAUCUGUCGGACGGAUAUUAGAAACGAAGGUGAGGUUGUAUCUUGUUAGGUGA